GGAUGAACGCUGGCGGCGUGCUUAAUACAUGCAAGUCGAACGGAGACAGUAGCAAUAUUGUCUUAGUGGCGAACGGGUGAGUAACGCGUUGGUGACCUGCCUCGAAGAGAGGGAUAACAGUUCGAAAGGAUUGCUAAUACCUCAUGUGGUUAUUUGGGUUAGAGACCUUAUAACUAAACGGAUUUAUUCGCUUCGAGAGGGGCCUGCGUCCCAUCAGCUAGUUGGUAAGGUAACGGCCUACCAAGGCGAUGACGGGUAGGGGACCUGAGAGGGUGGCCCCCCACAAUGGAACUGAAACACGGUCCAUACACCUACGGGUGGCAGCAGUAGGGAAUAUUGGUUAAUGUGGGAAACCGCGAACCAGCAACGCCGCGUGCGCGAUGAAGGCCUUCGGGUUGUAAAGCGCUUUUAGAGAGGAUGAGGAAGGACAGUACUCUCUGAAUAAGCCUC
RNAcentral lists this ribosomal RNA (450 nucleotides) under uncultured bacterium. Its description in RNAcentral is "bacterial SSU rRNA". It matches the Rfam family "Bacterial small subunit ribosomal RNA", at positions 27 to 494 of the family's 1533-position model. The record is from RNAcentral.